GUUCAGUAGGUCAACCUGUGCCGGUAUAGUUCCUGGAGAAAAAAACAAAAGAGAAAAAGAAUGGUGGGAAUGGACUGGCUGACAUGGGGGUGAAACCCAGUGGAGUGAGCGACAUAAGAUGGCCAGUGCAUACAGGUGCAGUCUUUGGAUACUGAUGAAGAUUUACUGCCCUGCAAGAUCUUCCUCAACUGCAUAGUCUGGAGCGAAGGAUGCAACAGAGCCCAGAUUACAAGCAAAAACUGGGCGGAUGUGCUCGACUGCACCUGGCGCAUACUGAAGAGGGUGAUUGCUAACUCCCUGGCAAAGAAUCUCAAUUGGAG
Ictalurus punctatus (channel catfish) is the source of this 320-nucleotide long non-coding RNA. Lineage: Eukaryota; Metazoa; Chordata; Actinopteri; Siluriformes; Ictaluridae. The record is from Ensembl.